Cercocebus atys (sooty mangabey) is the source of this 487-nucleotide RNA transcript. It is a transcript of the gene named 40S ribosomal protein S19 pseudogene, with no coding region annotated. The record is from RefSeq and is a predicted model, not a curated record. NCBI's taxonomy places the organism in Eukaryota, Metazoa, Chordata, Mammalia, Primates, Cercopithecidae. The transcript has a single exon.
AUGCCUGGAGUUCCUCUAGAAGACGUGAAACAGCGGGACGUCGUCAGAACUCUGGCAACCUUUCUCAAAAAGUCCGGGAAGCUGAAAGUCCCUGAAUGGGUGGACACCGUCAAGCUGGCCAAGCACAAAGAGCUUGCUCCCUACGUUGAGAACUGGUUCUGCACAGGAGCUGGUUCCACAGCGCGGCACCUGUACCUCCGUGGUGGCGCUGGGGUUGGCUCCAUGACCAAGAUCUACGGGGGACGUCAGAGAAAUGGCAUCAUGCCCAGCCACUUCAGCCGAGGCUUCAACAGCGUCCUCCACCAGGUCCUCCAAGCCCUGGAGGGGCUGAAAAUGGUGGAAAAGGACCAAGAUGGGGACCACAAACUGACACCUCAGGGACAGAGAGAUCUGGACAGAAUUGCCGGACAGGUGGCAGCUGCCAACAAGAAGCAUUAGAACAAACCAUGCUGGGUUAAUAUAUUGCCUUAUUCGGAAAAAAAAAAAA